Molecule: transfer RNA, 84 nt
Filed under: Candidatus Omnitrophota bacterium
Lineage: Bacteria; Pseudomonadati; Candidatus Omnitrophota
Description: tRNA-Leu
Rfam family: tRNA
About the family: Transfer RNA (tRNA) molecules are approximately 80 nucleotides in length.
Source: RNAcentral
GCCGGGAUGGCGGAAUAGGCAGACGCGUCGGUCUCAAAAACCGAUGGGGGAAACCCCAUGAGGGUUCGACUCCCUCUCCCGGCA